GUGUGCUGCUGGUCAGCGUGGAGGCUUUACAAAAGCACAGGAACAAAUAUGCAGUUCUUCACAAAUACUCAAUUUACCCAGAAGUGCUCAGCUGCCUGGGGGGAACAGGCUCUCUGCUGACCCAGAUAAGCAGACCUAGGGCUCUGUGAUGUCGGCAUGAGGCCCUUCAAGGUGCCUCUCACCACAGGACAUCAGGAGGCUGGGCGGCCCUGUCCAAACACAAACACGCUGGCAGUGGUGUCCCUACCUACACAGAUGUGAACACAAAGGAGAUUUUUCAGCUAAUAAGAUCCUCUGGUGUUUGUAGCACUAAGCAGGGGACAACUUCAGGAGAGGGCUCUGCUGGCGUCCCCAAACUAGCACUUGGAAUCAUAAUGGUGCUAUGAGACAAGCGAACACAGUAAGCUGGGGAGAUGAGUGAUUGCAUCUGAUGUUGGAGGACUGGAUCCUGCAGGAAGGUUAGGGGGCAACAUCCCCACGGUCACUGUUUGUUUGUUUACCUAACUUCAAAAUUCUCUCUGGAGCUGCUUAGACAAAGCCUGACUUAUCUUCCCAAAGAUGAAACACUGGAAACAGUCCUGACAAAACAACCUACUGAUAAGUCAGAAGAAGAAUUAAGAAUGUGGAACUGGAGAAGAACUAUAGUAAAAGUGGUAUGCUGGAGUGCAUAGGAAUACUUGGGUCAGAAGGAAGUGAGACCCACACCUGUUGAGUACUUGAGAGUCACAAGGUAUGUUAUGCCCAUUACAAGUCCCACUCAUUCUCGUAACAACCCAACAAGGCAGUG
Molecule: long non-coding RNA, 787 nt
Filed under: Pan troglodytes (chimpanzee)
Lineage: Eukaryota; Metazoa; Chordata; Mammalia; Primates; Hominidae
Description: lncRNA (ENSPTRG00000054540.1)
Source: RNAcentral